UCUACCUUAAAAAUUGCACAAGCUGACCUCAGUUGUAGACUGCAUGUAUACUGCAAUCAUUGCUUCAUCACACCCAGCUGAAGAAACUCACGCCUCAGACCACAAAUCACUUCAUUCAGCUGUAUUGGAACUUAGAAACAUGUUCUGGAGCAUCUGCAAUAUUUUUGUAUCAUUCAAGAGGCGAAUAAUGUUCAGCUCCGGAUAAGCAUCAAGCAUGACUUUCCACAAGCUAGUUCAAACCCGCCAUGGGAGACCUCAUUUAAAAGGUACCGCUAUGUUACUUGGAUAUAUUUUACUAUUGUGUGUAAUGGAUAUUUGUUAUUACACAUCUGGAGAAGCUUUGAAAAUGCCCACAUGCAAGAGAUUACUGAUAUCAGUGACUGGAAUGCAAACAAACCUAUGAUAUGAUGAUUUCCGGCCGGGUGGAAAGCACGGCCAUACUGUUUCCGGUCGCACGAUCCCCCUGCACAUGUGCAUGUGGAACGGUAUACCAAUUAACGGCAAUGUAGAACAGCUGGACACUCUAUUAGUUAGGGUAUAAGUAGGAGGAUUUGGGAGAUGUCUACACGCUUCUGAGGAAGGACUAUAAUUGUGUGAAAUGCGUUAAGCGUAUAAUAUCCCCGCUGUAUCAUCCCGUUGAGGCUGUCAUCUUCAGCUGGUGCCGAGUCGCUGUGUUGGAUCCCGGAUUCUGGAGCCAUUUAUCCAAGGUUCUUCUGUUCAUCUGGAGCCUCCAGGACCCUGCUACUAGUUGCUGCUAAUGCCGUUGGGGAUACGUCUAUGUGCUUUUUUUCAUCUGUCUGGUGUAAGUGCGAUGUAGAAAUAUAU
Molecule: long non-coding RNA, 825 nt
Organism: Pseudophryne corroboree (corroboree frog)
Lineage: Eukaryota; Metazoa; Chordata; Amphibia; Anura; Myobatrachidae
Exons: 3
Source: RefSeq, a predicted model, not a curated record